AUAAGCGCACACGGUGGAUGCCUUGGCGGUCAGAGGCGAUGAAGGACGUGGCAGCCUGCGAAAAGUAUCGGGGAGCUGGCAACAAGCUUUGAUCCGGUAAUGUCCGAAUGGGGAAACCCACCCGCUUGCGGGUAUCCUGCAGUGAAUACAUAGCUGCUGGAAGCGAACCUGGUGAACUGAAAUAUCUAAGUAACCAGAGGAAAAGAAAUCAACCGAGAU
This 219-nucleotide ribosomal RNA is filed under the name Spumella elongata. Its description in RNAcentral is "partial Bacterial large subunit ribosomal RNA". It matches the Rfam family "Bacterial large subunit ribosomal RNA", at positions 11 to 235 of the family's 2925-position model. The record is from RNAcentral. Lineage: Eukaryota; Chrysophyceae; Chromulinales; Chromulinaceae.